UGCAGUGGGAAUAAUGAUUUUUCAUUGAAGAGUGGGUAGAAAUGUGGAAUGGCGCUUAAGCUGCUUAUUCUGGUGUCUGUUUUAUCGUCAGUAGAUGGAUUUAUAUUUUUUCGAUAAGAGUAGGAAAAAAUACGUAUUUUCAGGGAUUUGGGAAAAUAUAUUCAAACACCUGCGAAGAAGUCUUCGAAUAAAUAAACAACCAACGUUGACGUUGUGACAGAGAAGAAUGUGUCGAGAGAGGAAAAUCUGUCGAGAGAGAAGAAUGUGGCGACAUAUACCCUGUUAGAGAUUCCACGGAAAGAAGAGACGACAGCAAGAAUAACAACGAAACUAGCCAAUCCAACAACAAUAACAACUACUGAAACAGGUAAUACACUGCUCACAUGCUGCUCAGGAAGGUUUAGUAUACUAGAUUGAUAUUUACACCGAUCGUCUGGUACCUGAACUUGCGGAGGGUAUGACCGGUCACAUCUCUUAUUCUUCCUAGACACCCGAUUCCACGUCUGUUUUGUUUUUCCUAGAGAUCUGUCUUCUCGAUUUCAUAUUUUUCAUGGGAUAUUUGAGAUUGGUCAAUGUUCGUUAUCUUCACACAAUUUUUGUUUUAACAGUUAACAGUAUCAACUUAUUUUUUAUGUGUGGCUCCUCAUCUCAUAUCAGAAGAUCGUCUGGCUCCGUAUUUGAGAAGAUCUCGGAAUAAUGCUGUCGGACAAGAGAACAGAGCAUUGAUCUUCUGCAUUGCUGGGUUUUCUGUGGCAGCUGUUAUGAUGCUUAUUUCACACCUUGCUUUAAGUUUAGCUAUUAACUGCGAAAAUCCAAAUAAUACAACUUAGGACGCAUGAACAUAUUUUAAAAGUACAUUUGUUGAUAUUGCUCAAUUUAAGAAAAGUGUACAAUGAAGCGUUUUGCACACAGCAUGCGUUAGGGUACACCUUGUAAUUUGGAUCAGAGUGGGCUAGGGUACACCUUGUAAUUUGGAUCAGAGUGGGCUAGGGUACACCUUGCAAUUUGGAUCAGAGCGGGCUAAGGUACACCUUGUACAUGUAUUUUGGAUCAGAGCGGAUGACAAUGUCAUAUUGUAAUUUUCGAAUUUACUGGUUGCGUGCAAAUACAAAAAUGAGAGAGAGAGAGAGAGAGAGAGAGAGAGAGAGAGAGAGAGAGAGAGAGAGAGAGAUUAACAUUUACCCAAUGGUUGUGUCUAGAUCCGCGCCUUGCAUCCUGAAUGUAUUUCCAUGGACUUGUAAAAUAUACAAUUUUUCACAUACGAUGGUAGAUGUACAUCUACAUAUACAUGUAUUAAUUCACCGUGGUUUUUUCUUUAAUUCUUUCGUCUUUAUACAAAAUAAACUCAUCAGUCACAUUUGGGAUCAGGGACACUGAUGUGAAAAACAGAUGGAAAUACUGAAUUUUAAGGUAAAAGAGGAGGGAGCUGUACGAAAACAAAAGGAGCAAAAAGCAGGAAGUCUACCAACUAAUGAGUUACGUCUACCAAUAAGUAAGCGUAGAUUGAGGCCAGAAUUUAGUCUAGACUGCAUAUUCGCCUUUUUGUGAAACGCAACAUACUCGGAUUUUCAGAUUUAGUCCGGAAUAAGCUCACGCUUGGUUGUGUGCCUUUUAGAAACGGGGCCACAAGAGUUACGACCAGACGCUUUACAGAACGGGUCCCUGGUCAUGAAACGAACGGACGAUAACUUACUUAACAGGAAACAAGAAACUGUAAUUUUACUGUGAUGAGCAGAGUAAUGAUGUUCCUUAAAUCUUGUGCCCACCUUAAACCCAAACCCUCACGAAAGAAAAUUUGAUUUAAAAAAAAUCAACAAGUUAUGGGAUGUUCGAAAAAUAGGGAUGAAGGGCUCUACAUUUGUAAGACUUUUCCAAUUUAAUUUGUUCUUAUUGUUAAUAAUUUUUAUUUGAUGUUUUAAAAUUGCAAAACAAUCAUUUCUUAUUUAUAGAAAUCAAUGUCUGAAUUCUUGUUUGCGUUAUUACUUAUAAUUAUUAUUGCAUUUUAACGUAAUUAUCCAUGUACCAUGUACAUUCAUACAUUUAUAUAAAAAACUGACCUGUAACUAUGCUAAUUUCAUUAUGAAUGGUAGAUAGAGGUUCUACCUACAUGGCAAAUUAUUUUAUUGUGUAUUAUAUCAUUUUAUCAUUUAUCUAUGUGAACAUGAUUGUCAUACUAAUAUUCAUUUUUCUCAUUUUUUUAUCGAUCGAAAUAGCUCUAGUUACUUUUAAAGUAUGUACCUAUGCAUAAUCUAUCAAUCGAUGAUAAUUUUUUAUAACCAGAAUAAUGGUUAUAAAUAAUAGUAUGGGCCAAACUGGAUCAACCGCAUUCGUUUGCCUAUUGACCCGGGUUUGUAAGUAAAAUGAAAGCCAUUCGAAUUAUCAAAUAAUGUAUCGAGUGUCUAAUUCAACUCUCUAUAAAUUCAAUAAAUUGAAAAAAAAGUUUUCCAGCAAGAGGUGUAUAGUUUAUGGGGAAUAUGCAACAAUGUUUGUUUUGGUCAAUUGUACCAAGAAGAUUGUAUACAAUCAUUGAUUUCUUUAUUUAAAGGUGAUAUUAUGUGCUAAAUGUAGUUCCGAAGACUUAAUGUAUCACUGUCAGAGAAUAUAUUCUGUGUGUUUAAAAACAAACAAUGAUAUAUGUAGGAGGAAAACUAAAAAAUAA
Ostrea edulis (European flat oyster) is the source of this 2659-nucleotide long non-coding RNA. RefSeq lists it as uncharacterized. Lineage: Eukaryota; Metazoa; Mollusca; Bivalvia; Ostreida; Ostreidae. The transcript has 3 exons. The record is from RefSeq and is a predicted model, not a curated record.